RNAcentral lists this ribosomal RNA (492 nucleotides) under uncultured bacterium. RNAcentral describes it as "partial 16S ribosomal RNA". It matches the Rfam family "Bacterial small subunit ribosomal RNA", at positions 29 to 507 of the family's 1533-position model. The record is from RNAcentral.
AGUGAACGCUGGCGGUAGGCCUAACACAUGCAAGUCGAACGGCAGCACAGUAAGAGCUUGCUCUUACGGGUGGCGAGUGGCGGACGGGUGAGGAAUACAUCGGAAUCUACUUUUUCGUGGGGGAUAACGUAGGGAAACUUACGCUAAUACUGCAUACGACCUACGGGUGAAAGCAGGGGAUCUUCGGACCUUGCGCGAUUGAAUGAGCCGAUGUCGGAUUAGCUAGUUGGCGGGGUAAAGGCCCACCAAGGCGACGAUCCGUAGCUGGUCUGAGAGGAUGAUCAGCCACACUGGAACUGAGACACGGUCCAGACUCCUACGGGAGGCAGCAGUGGGGAAUAUUGGACAAUGGGCGCAAGCCUGAUCCAGCCAUACCGCGUGGGUGAAGAAGGCCUUCGGGUUGAAAAGCCCUUUUGUUGGGAAAGAAAAGCAGCAGGUUAAUACCCCGCUGUUCUGACGGUACCCAAAGAAUAAGCACCGGCUAACUUCGUG